GUGAAUCAUCAAAUCUUUGAACGCAUAUUGCACUCUCUGGUAUUCCGGAGAGUAUGCCUAUUUGAGGGUCAUUUGGAAUAAUAUAAAUUUUUCGAGAUUUUCUUGUAAUCAAGAAUGGGAAGGUCCAGCAUUCGUGUGGGGGUCGCCUAAAAUGCAAGACAAGCUCAUUUCUUGGGUUGCGUGAUACGUUCAGUUACCUCGUGACUUCACAAGGAAUCUUUGAGCGUGUUAGGAAUUUUGUUCGAGCUAAAAUUUUUUU
This 259-nucleotide unclassified non-coding RNA is filed under the name Archaeospora sp. RNAcentral's name for it is "partial contains 5.8S ribosomal RNA and internal transcribed spacer 2". The stretch from base 1 to 71 matches the Rfam family "5.8S ribosomal RNA", at positions 84 to 154 of the family's 154-position model. The record is from RNAcentral. Lineage: Eukaryota; Fungi; Glomeromycota; Glomeromycetes; Archaeosporales; Archaeosporaceae.